RNAcentral lists this ribosomal RNA (430 nucleotides) under bacterium. RNAcentral describes it as "partial 16S ribosomal RNA". It matches the Rfam family "Bacterial small subunit ribosomal RNA", at positions 355 to 776 of the family's 1533-position model. The record is from RNAcentral.
UGGGGAAUAUUGGACAAUGGGCGCAAGCCUGAUCCAGCCAUGCCGCGUGUGUGAAGAAGGCCUUUUGGUUGUAAAGCACUUUAAGCGAGGAGGAGACUACUUGGAUUAAUACUCUAGGAUAGUGGACGUUACUCGCAGAAUAAGCACCGGCUAACUCUGUGCCAGCAGCCGCGGUAAUACAGAGGGUGCGAGCGUUAAUCGGAUUUACUGGGCGUAAAGCGUGCGUAGGCGGCUUCUUAAGUCGGAUGUGAAAUCCCUGAGCUUAACUUAGGAAUUGCAUUCGAUACUGGGAAGCUAGAGUAUGGGAGAGGAUGGUAGAAUUCCAGGUGUAGCGGUGAAAUGCGUAGAGAUCUGGAGGAAUACCGAUGGCGAAGGCAGCCAUCUGGCCUAAUACUGACGCUGAGGUACGAAAGCAUGGGGAGCAAACAGG